GACGAACGCUGGCGGCGUGCUUAACACAUGCAAGUCGAACGGAAAGGCCCUGCUUUUGUGGGGUGCUCGAGUGGCGAACGGGUGAGUAACACGUGAGUAACCUGCCCUUGACUUUGGGAUAACUUCAGGAAACUGGGGCUAAUACCGGAUAGGAGCUCCUGCUGCAUGGUGGGGGUUGGAAAGUUUCGGCGGUUGGGGAUGGACUCGCGGCUUAUCAGCUUGUUGGUGGGGUAGUGGCUUACCAAGGCUUUGACGGGAAGCCGGCCUGAGAGGGUGACCGGCCACAUUGGGACUGAGAUACGGCCCAGACUCCUACGGGAGGCAGCAGUGGGGAAUAUUGCACAAUGGGCCUAAGCCUGAUGCAGCAACGCCGCGUGCGGGAUGACGGCCUUCGGGUUGUAAACCGCUUUCGCCUGUGACGAAGCGUGAGUGACGGUAAUGGGUAAAGAAGCACCGGCUAACUACGUG
This 468-nucleotide ribosomal RNA is filed under the name uncultured bacterium. RNAcentral describes it as "partial 16S ribosomal RNA". It matches the Rfam family "Bacterial small subunit ribosomal RNA", at positions 28 to 507 of the family's 1533-position model. The record is from RNAcentral.